RNAcentral lists this transfer RNA (67 nucleotides) under Marmota monax (woodchuck). RNAcentral's name for it is "tRNA.Ala". The record is from RNAcentral. Lineage: Eukaryota; Metazoa; Chordata; Mammalia; Rodentia; Sciuridae.
GGUUGUGGCUCAGUGGUGGAGUGCUUGCCUAGCACGUGUGAGGCACUGGGUUCAAUCCUCAGCACUA